AUUGAACGCUGGCGGCAUGCCUUACACAUGCAAGUCGAACGGUAACAGGACUUCGUAUGCUGACGAGCGGCGAACGGGGGCGUAAUACAUCGGAACGUGCCCGAUCGUGGGGGAUAACGAGGCGAAAGCUUUGCUAAUACCGCAUACGAUCUACGGAUUAAAGCGGGGGAUCUUCGGACUUCGCGCGGGCGGUGCGGCCGCUGGCAGAUUAGGUAGUUGGUGGGAUAAAAGCUUACCAAGCCGACGAUCUGUAGCUGGUCUGAGAGGAUGAUCAGCCACACUGGGACUGAGACACGGCCCAGACUCCUACGGGAGGCAGCAGUGGGGAAUUUUGGACAAUGGGCGAAAGCCUGAUCCAGCAAUGCCGCGUGCAGGAUGAAGGCCUUCGGGUUGUAAACUGCUUUUGUACGGAACGAAAAGCCUCUUUCUAAUAAAGAGGGGUCAUGACGGUACCGUAAGAAUAAGCACCGGCUAACUACGUG
Molecule: ribosomal RNA, 482 nt
Filed under: uncultured bacterium
Lineage: Bacteria
Description: partial 16S ribosomal RNA
Rfam family: Bacterial small subunit ribosomal RNA
Source: RNAcentral